This 253-nucleotide ribosomal RNA is filed under the name uncultured bacterium. RNAcentral describes it as "partial 16S ribosomal RNA". It matches the Rfam family "Bacterial small subunit ribosomal RNA", at positions 524 to 776 of the family's 1533-position model. The record is from RNAcentral.
UACGUAGGGAGCAAGCGUUGUCCGGAAUCAUUGGGCGUAAAGCGCGCGUAGGUGGCCAUUUAAGUCCGCUGUGAAAGUCAAAGGCUCAACCUUUGAAAGCCGGUGGAUACUGGGUGGCUAGAGUACGGAAGAGGCGAGUGGAAUUCCUGGUGUAGCGGUGGAAUGCGCAGAUAUCAGGAGGAACACCGGUGGCGAAGGCGGGUCUCUGGGCAACUACUGACGCUGAGGAGCGAAAGCGUGGGGAGCGAACAGG